UAGUUAGUUGGUGGGGUAAUGGCCUACCAAGACGAUGAUGUGUAGCCGGGCUGAGAGGUCGAACGGCCACAUUGGGACUGAGACACGGCCCAAACUCCUACGGGAGGCAGCAGUAAGGAAUUUUCGGCAAUGGAGGAAACUCUGACCGAGCAAUGCCGCGUGAACGAUGAAGUAUUUCGGUACGUAAAGCUCUUUUAUUAGGGAAGAAAAGAUGGUGGAAAAACCAUUAUGACGGUACCUAAUGAAUAAGCCCCGGCUAACUAUGUGCCAGCAGCCGCGGUAAUACAUAGGGGGCAAGCGUUAUCCGGAAUUAUUGGGCGUAAAGGGUGCGUAGGCGGUUAAAUAAGUUUAUGGUCUAAGUGCAACGCUCAACGUUGUGAUGCUAUAAAAACUGUUUAGCUAGAGUUGGAUAGAGGCAAGUGGAAUUCCGUGUGUAGUGGUAAAAUGCGUAAAUAUACGGAGGAACACCAGAAGCGAAGGCGGCUUGCUGGGUCUUAACUGACGCUGAGGCACGAAAGCGUGGGGAGCAAACAGGAUUAGAUACCCUGGUAGUCCACGCCCUAAACGAUGAGUACUAAACGUUGGAUAAAACCAGUGUUGAAGUUAACACAUUAAGUACUCCGCCUGAGUAGUACGUACGCAAGUAUGAAACUUAAAGGAAUUGACGGGACUCCGCACAAGCGGUGGAUCAUGUUGUUUAAUUCGAAGGUACCCGAAAAACCUCACCAGGUCUUGACAUGCUUUUGCAAAGCUGUAGAAAUACAGUGGAGGUUAUCAGAAGCACAGGUGGUGCAUGGUUGUCGUCAGCUCGUGUCGUGAGAUGUUGGGUUAAGUCCCGCAACGAGCGCAACCCUUGUUGUUAAUUGCCAUCAUUACGUUGGGGACUUUAGCAAGACUGCCAAUGAUAAAUUGGAGGAAGGUGGGGACGACGUCAAAUCAUCAUGCCCCUUAUGACCUGGGCUACAAACGUGAUACAAUGGCUGUUACAAAGGGUAGCUAA
RNAcentral lists this ribosomal RNA (1000 nucleotides) under Candidatus Phytoplasma solani. Its description in RNAcentral is "bacterial SSU rRNA". It matches the Rfam family "Bacterial small subunit ribosomal RNA", at positions 242 to 1253 of the family's 1533-position model. Lineage: Bacteria; Bacillati; Mycoplasmatota; Mollicutes; Acholeplasmatales; Acholeplasmataceae. The record is from RNAcentral.